CGGGUGAGUAAUGUCUGGGAAACUGCCUGAUGGAGGGGGAUGACUACUGGAAACGGUAGCUAAUACCGCAUAACGUCGCAAGACCAAAGAGGGGGACCUUCGGGCCUCUUGCCAUCGGAUGUGCCCAGAUGGGAUUAGCUAGUAGGUGGGGUAACGGCUCACCUAGGCGACGAUCCCUAGCUGGUCUGAGAGGAUGACCAGCCACACUGGAACUGAGACACGGUCCAG
RNAcentral lists this ribosomal RNA (228 nucleotides) under uncultured bacterium. Its description in RNAcentral is "partial 16S ribosomal RNA". It matches the Rfam family "Bacterial small subunit ribosomal RNA", at positions 103 to 334 of the family's 1533-position model. The record is from RNAcentral.